CAGAACUUUGUUGUUACACAGCAAUCUACUGAACACCAUCAUGCUCUCAGCACUCAAGUUUCAGAGAACCUCGAGGCACUUUUCCUGCCUGCGACUUCUACAUAAAUCUGCAGUUGAAGUGCAAGAAAGGCCUGCCCCAGAGAAGAC
Acipenser ruthenus (sterlet) is the source of this 147-nucleotide long non-coding RNA. RefSeq lists it as uncharacterized. Lineage: Eukaryota; Metazoa; Chordata; Actinopteri; Acipenseriformes; Acipenseridae. The transcript has 3 exons. The record is from RefSeq and is a predicted model, not a curated record.